Molecule: small RNA, 90 nt
Organism: Brenneria goodwinii
Lineage: Bacteria; Pseudomonadati; Pseudomonadota; Gammaproteobacteria; Enterobacterales; Pectobacteriaceae
Rfam family: OmrA-B family
Source: Rfam
CCCAGAGGUAUUGAUUGGUGAUAUAUCAAUGUGCUCUGUACAUUGACGCAUUUGAUUACACCAACCUACGCGGAUGCGUAGGUUUUUUUU